GCCGCGCUCGUCGGGGACUCUGUGCCCGAGGAGGAGGCCGAGGCCCGCCGCCGCACGUAGACCCUGCCUGGCGGCGCCUUCGUGCCACCCCUUUGCGCCCUGGAGGUGCGCACGGCGGCGAUCGGCCCCAGCCGCUCCGAGUGAGGCCCGGACGCCCAGCGCGCCAGCAGCCGAGCGCGGGGCUGCGUCCCCCGGCGGGAUCCGGAGACCCAGACAGAUGGUUUGGGAGUUGGCAGGACCUGGGAGCACACCUUCCUCUCCACAUCCACUUAUUCCUUGCUUGGUUCUGUGGACUUCUCCUCCAAAGAAAUCAUAAUUUACAAUAAAAAGCUGCCUGUUGUGAGCCAAGUACUGUA
Molecule: long non-coding RNA, 356 nt
Organism: Suricata suricatta (meerkat)
Lineage: Eukaryota; Metazoa; Chordata; Mammalia; Carnivora; Herpestidae
Exons: 2
Source: RefSeq, a predicted model, not a curated record